Molecule: ribosomal RNA, 309 nt
Filed under: uncultured bacterium
Lineage: Bacteria
Description: partial 16S ribosomal RNA
Rfam family: Bacterial small subunit ribosomal RNA
Source: RNAcentral
AGAGACAGCAGCCGCCGCGGUAAUACGAAGGGGGCUAGCGUUGUUCGGAUUUACUGGGCGUAAAGGGCGCGUAGGCGGACUGAUAAGUCAGGGGUGAAAUCCCAAGGCUCAACCUUGGAACUGCCUUUGAUACUGUUUGUCUUGAGUUCGAGAGAGGUAAGUGGAACUGCGAGUGUAGAGGUGAAAUUCGUAGAUAUUCGCAAGAACACCAGUGGCGAAGGCGGCUUACUGGCUCGAAACUGACGCUGAGGCGCGAAAGCGUGGGGAGCAAACAGGAUUAGAUACCCCAGUAGUCCCUGUCUCUUAUAC